GAAAGCCCCAACCCUGCUUUGCAAAACCCCUGCUGUAAAGGAGACGUACAUUUUCACAGCGCAUGAAAUAAGCAGAAAAAACUCGCUCGAAGUUGCUUUUGGGGGCUUCCUCCCUCACAGCGCAUCAGCCUAACUCUGCAAGUUCUGCUAACAGCCACUGACUGGAGAGGUGCAAACUGCAAGCGCAUGCACAACAAAAAGUUACAGAGAAACCAGAGGGAAAUACAAAUGCCUUCCUCUUCCUGAGCACAGGUGUAUGCUGUGCUGGUGCAGUUGGAAUCUAUGGAGAAGAGAGCAUUUGACUGCUCUGGGUACAAAACUCUGCCAGCAGGCCACCCUUUAGGAGCAUCUACUGCCUUUGCAGUGCCCCUGUCGCAGCCUUGGAGUGUCAUCUUUCCCAGGCUUCCUAAUUGAAGGAUGAUAUACACCUACAAUCUGAGCUAGCGAAAACAGAGGCAAUGAAAAGGCUGAAAAAUCACUUCUUAGAGGAGUCUUUGACUGGACUUGUUGCAUG
This is a long non-coding RNA of Melopsittacus undulatus (budgerigar), 514 nucleotides long. RefSeq lists it as uncharacterized. The transcript has 3 exons. NCBI's taxonomy places the organism in Eukaryota, Metazoa, Chordata, Aves, Psittaciformes, Psittaculidae. The record is from RefSeq and is a predicted model, not a curated record.